UUAACGCGUCACGGGCGGCCUGGCAGCUGGCGGCAUUGAGGCGGACGCGUCUAGAGGUCCGUCUGACCGCGGCGUCGGGACCUGGUUUCCGGGCAUGAGCUGAGAGCACCACGCCGAGGCCACGAGUAUUUCAUAGACAUUGAUGGAAGCAGAAACCAAAACUCUUCCCCUGGAGAAUGCAUCCAUCCUUUCAGAGGGCUCUCUGCAGGAAGGACACCGAUUAUGGAUUGGCAACCUGGACCCCAAAAUUACCGAAUACCACCUCCUCAAGCUCCUCCAGAAGUUUGGCAAGGUAAAGCAGUUUGACUUCCUCUUCCACAAGUCAGGUGCUUUGGAGGGACAGCCUCGAGGCUACUGUUUUGUUAACUUUGAAACUAAGCAGGAAGCAGAGCAAGCCAUCCAGUGUCUCAAUGGCAAGUUGGCCCUGUCCAAGAAGCUGGUGGUGCGAUGGGCACAUGCUCAAGUAAAGAGAUAUGAUCAUAACAAGAAUGAUAAGAUUCUUCCAAUCAGUCUCGAGCCAUCCUCAAGCACUGAGCCUACUCAGUCUAACCUAAGAGGACCUCAGCUUACAUCUCUCUAUUAACAUCUAUGCCUAAUGAGAGAAGGUUGCUUCCCUGUGACUUAUACAAAAUCAGUGACCAGCUGUGGCAUUAAUGGAAGAGGGGCCAGAAUGCAUCUCGUGUCACUGCAAAGAUAAAAGCCAUUGAAGCAAAACUGAAAAUGAUGGCGGAAAAUCCUGAUGCAGAGUAUCCAGCAGCGCCUGUUUAUUCCUACUUUAAGCCACCAGAUAAAAAAAGGACUACUCCAUAUUCUAGAACAGCAUGGAAAUCUCGAAGAUGAUGGUUGUGAAUUACUGUAGCAGCAAAAGCAAAUUGGUCUCCACACCUAAAAUCGUCUGCCUGUGUACUUUGUAGAUGUGAAUGGUACUAUUCAACGGAGCACAAUCACAUGUUAGCAUUUGGUAACAUAAUGUUUUUGGAUGUUCUUAUGGAUGUUUCUUCCCUAAACUAUGUAUGGAAUUGAGCAUCAUCCAGAAUAAAUAGCGUUGUAUCCCAAAUUGUGAUUUGAACCCUGGGAUGCUCUAAUUGGCUGGUUGGUUUGGAUUUGUAACUCCAGAAACAUUCUAUAGUGUGCCAGAGCAAAAGGCAAAUACACAAAAUAUUAUUUAAAUCAGGAAACUAAAAAUAUUAACAUCUAUUAAAAAAUUGAGCAUUUUUCUACGCUCGUGUGUCUUUUACAACAUAAAGAAAAAGUAAAAGGCAGGGAGGGAAGUGAGAGACAGAUUUUAAAUCAUGUUCAGAACUGUUGUUCCAGAAUUUACUACGGCAAUCCCUCCAACUGGACUGAAAAAGAGAAAGUUCUUGGCAAAAAGGAGCUGAUUCUUUGAACAAAUGUUGUAGUAAUCUGUUUAAGAAUUAUGCUUAUUGUUUCAAAAUCCCAACUAGGAAAACAUGGUGUAUAUCUUAAAAUUGUUUGUGUUGACAAAACUAGAAUCAAAUUUAACAUUUUAUACCACAACACAAGUUCUAUUUGGAAAUUGAACUUUUAUUCUAUAGCAACCAUUUUUUUCAAAUCUAAAUAACCAUGCCUUCUAUAAUAACAAAUGUUGCUAUUAUCAUGGGACUUUUAAAAUUACAUUUAUUGCAUGGGAUUGUUUUUAUAGCAUGAGAAUGUUCUGUUUGGAAUUAUAUCAUGGUCAGUCUAAAUAGAAAAAGCAAAAUUUCUUUGAAAACCUAAACAUUGCUAUAUUGGUCACUAUCAAACAUACAAUUUUCUAAUAAUUGUGUAGCGGUCUAAGUGGAAGAGAUUGCAUUAUCUUGUGCAGGACGAGGAGAGGACAUGCAGUGGGCACAGAAAGUCAAUGGAACAGAUGCCACUGUGGCACCAAGACUGUAAUGACUCUGUGUGGUAGGUAGUUUUAAAGGACUGCAUGCCUUGGAAAUGAUUCUUCACUUGGAGAACAUACUUGCCUCUAGAUAUGUUUGUCACUCUAAGCAUCCUGAAUAUAACAAUAGAGAAAGAUAAGUCAACCAACAGAUUUAGGGAUGUGUUUCUUCAGCACAUUUUGGUCAUUUUGAUGCCAAGUUUGACAUACUGUUUAAUUGGGCAGCACCUUUGCUCCUUUACCAGGUAUGUAUCACUUUGUUACUCCAGGUGCCAUUCUUGGUGAUGACAGAAUGUUUAUCACUAUCGUUGUUAGCAAGAGGAAGCUUUCAAUAUAGGAACUUAACAUCUUCCCAUGAGUAUAAAUGAAUUUAAGACAUUUGAAUCAAAACUUCAGUAGAGGGAGGUUUUAGAAUUCAUAAAACUGGUUUAAGGAAAUUCUUUUUACUUUUCCCAAGGUUAAUCUUUUUAAAUAUCUCUAGACAUCAAAUACUUUCUGUAUGUAUUAGCUGUGUCUGUCUAUGAUGCAAGUAACUCUCCUCCUAUUUGGGGGAUAGUUCAGAGAGGUAGGAGCAUUAUCUCCCAUUUUUCUGGUGACUUCUUGGAGUAUAGAAUUCACCAUUUUAUCCGUAAGUCUUCAAAGGAUUAUGGUGGACUAGAACUUACAUAGUGCAAAAUAGUCUUCUAUUUUUAAUAGGAACUUAGAAAAAACUUAGAAUUAUAUAUAGAGUUGUUUCCUUUAGAAACCAGAGCUAUUUAUUUGUAUUUAAAGCACUGUUUAUUAUUUGUACUGAUUCUUAUCCCUCUGUGUGAAUAAAUGUAAGACGGUGUCCGUGUGGUUAUAUCUUCUCUCGUUCACUUACUGGCAUAGACUGCAGUUCUCUGACAGGCUUGUUUCCACUCAGGACUCUGGCCAGCAUGUCCACGUGGGGUGCUUCUUCUAAGUGCCUUCUCUGCAGAGGGUUCUGGCUAGAGAGUCAAACUGAGAGGCAACUCUCUUUACCCUUUAUGCCUGCCUACCUCUGUUGUUAGAGAUGAGAAUAGAGACCAGCUGUUUCCAUUGCAAAUGUCACUAUUUGAAAAGAAGUUGUUAAUGGAAAUCUCUGCAAGUAUCGUACUGUGUUUAGUCUCUCGUGGUAGAGAUUUCAAAAGAAGAAAUGUAUGUAUCCUAAAUAUGCUGAAAGCAGUCUGAUGAAAGGUUUUUAAAUUUCAGGUGUUAACUUGGUCAACUCUUUGUUAGGAGGUUGUCUGUACUUUAAGUAAAAUUAUUCUUUGGUUUACUGGUUAUUUUGGUUUGCUAAAAUUAUGUCACUUAUAAUUUUGAUUUAUAUACAAGAGUGAAGAAUUGAAGGAAAUACUGAGGAGAGACGUAUGAACUAUUUUCUUCAUCUCAAUUCCUAUUUUAUCAAAUGCAAAAUGUAAUCCUAACCAGUUGAUUUUCUAUAAUUGGUAUCUUAGUACUGGGGAGGAGUAUCACAUGAGGAAAGAUUUUUCAAAGCAUGUCAGCUGAGGCACAAGAAUCGCUUGAACCCAGGAGGUAGAGGUUCCAGUGAGCCGAGAUUGUGCCACUGCACUCCAGCCUGGGCAACAGAGUGAGACACCGUCUCAAAAAAAACAAAAACAAAACAGGUCAAAAAUCAGUUGCACAAGUUGUAUGAAACCAGGUAUUCUGCAGCUCUGUCUCUUGUUUAUUAAGAUAUGCACAGUUUCUGAAUCAACAAAUAUAUCUGUGAUUCUUUUAUACUACUACAUAAAAGAACAGGAGUAAUUCUUGCCUUAUAAAUUAAAUGUCAAACAUUUCCUAUAUGUAAUCAUUUGUUCCUAAAAUAUGAUUUAGUCCCAGCAUGCUUAUCCCUGUUUUCUCUUUUUCUCUCCAGCUCCUAUCUAGUUCUUCAACAAAUCCUGUCAACUCUACCUUCCAAAUGCCUCUUGAAUCCAGCCAUCUCACCACCUCCAACACUACCACCAUUUUUCUUAAAGCCACCAUCAUCUCUUCCCUGGACUAUUACAAUACCUUCCUAAUUAUCUCCCUGCCUCUGCUAUUGAUUCUUUAGGGUCCGUUUUCCACACAGUAGCCAAAGCAAUUUUUAAAAAAAUUAUUUUAAAAUGUGAUUCUCUUCUUUGUGGCUUUCCAUCACAGCCUAGAAAAAAUUGAAAGAUCUGUAAGGCCCUAAUGACCUGUCCUUCACUACGUGUCUGACCCUAUAGCCUACUGUUCUCCCCUUGUGCGGUGUACUGCAGCCACGUUGGCCUUCUUGCUAUUCUUUGAAUACAAGGGAGCUUCUACUUCAAGGCAUUUACAUUGGCUGUUGCCUUAGCUUAGAACGCUCUUUCUCCAGAUAGCCGCAGAGCCCGCUCUCUCACCUGACUCAUGUCUCUGCUCAAAUGUUAAUGAUCAAGAGGCAGUCCCCGGCCUCCCUCUUAAAAUUACAACCUGUCACUCUCCAAUCCUUUCCUCACGAUUUUCUCAAAAGCACUUACCGCUAACCAACAUUAUAUCUAAAUUUUUUUUUGUCUCUUUUUAUUGGAAUGUAAGUUUCAUGUAAGCAGGAACUGUAUAUCACUGCUAUACCCUCAGCAUUUAAAACAAUGGCUGUACAUCAUACAUACUCAAUAAAUAUUUGUUGGAUAAACUACAAGAAUUCUGGUAUUUGAGAGCCAAAGGGCCUUAAGAGACCAUCUCAUAUAGCCCCCUCAUUGUCCAGAUGGGGAAAACGGGAACCCAGAGAGACAAAGCGAUUUGGCCAGGGUCACCUGGUUAAUGGGAGAGCUUUAGGUAGAACCCAGGCCUGCAAACAUCUAGUCCAGUGUUCAGCAAACUGGCCUCUGCCUCCUAAUUUUGUAUAGCCUACAAGUUAAGAAUGAUUUUUUUUUCAUUUUCGAGUGGUUGAGAAAAAAAGUAAACAAAAUAUAUAUACUAUAUUGUGACAUGAAAAUGAUACGAAAUUCAAAUCUCAGUGUAUGUUAAUAACUAUUAGAACACAACCAUGCCCAGGCAUUUACAUGUGGCUGUUUUCCCCAUAUAAUAGAAGAGUUGAAUAGUUGGCAAUGAAGACUGUGGCCUACAAAACCUGAAAUAUAUACUAUCGGUCCCUUUACAGGAAAAAUUUGCCAAACCCUACUCUAAACAAUAUUCCAUGACUGGAAAUGUGUUUUCUAAAAUUCUCGUAUUAAUGCAGAGAAUAAAAGCAACAGAUGUCAGAAUGAUGUGCACCGAA
Homo sapiens (human) is the source of this 5102-nucleotide RNA transcript. It is a transcript of the gene named RNA binding motif protein 18, with no coding region annotated. Lineage: Eukaryota; Metazoa; Chordata; Mammalia; Primates; Hominidae. The record is from RefSeq and is marked validated. The transcript has 7 exons.